GAAAAAGCAGAUGCUUGUUGGUAUUUUCUUAAGCAAGCUUCACGUUCACUUUAGGUAUAACAUACUCAUUGUUAUUGGGUGAACCUUUGCAGAUUAUGUUUUCAUUGCAUAAGGUUCAAGAAAUAAUGAGACAUUU
Molecule: small nucleolar RNA, 136 nt
Organism: Zingiber officinale
Lineage: Eukaryota; Viridiplantae; Streptophyta; Magnoliopsida; Zingiberales; Zingiberaceae
Product: small nucleolar RNA snoR74
Exons: 1
Source: RefSeq, a predicted model, not a curated record